This 1144-nucleotide long non-coding RNA is filed under the name Mus musculus (house mouse). Its description in RNAcentral is "long non-coding RNA chr11:29712003-29713147". Lineage: Eukaryota; Metazoa; Chordata; Mammalia; Rodentia; Muridae. The record is from RNAcentral.
UUAAAGGCGUGCGCCACCACGCCCGGCGAGAGUGAGGUUUUAAUGAAUGGGAAGUGAAAGAAGGAAUGCUUUAUAAAAAAUGAAGGAUUAGAAGAGAUGGCUCAGGAUCAAUAGGUUUCAAGCAGCAUGUUAACGUGCCCUAGGGGAAACUGUAAACAUGCAUGAUAACACGGUGCGGUAAGGCUAGGGAGAAGCAGGCAUAUGGGCAGUAUUGAAAUACCUGUGAAAUCGCCUUCUAACUUCAUGCUACCUCCCAAAACUCAACUCUAGUCAUAUGUUCUUAGUUUGAUUUUGGUAAACCUAGGAUCUAUAGCCCCUAGUUUGGAAUGAAAAGGAUUAAAGAGCAGCAGUGCCUUAGAAGGCUAAAUAAAAAUGCUGAGGAAUGGGUUGGUGCUGAUUUUUAAGGAAACAAUAUCUUCAAGAAAAUCAUUUAGCUCAACCUUUUCCUCCCUUGUAUGUAUGUAGAGAUAGAGACAGCAUAUGUGUGUGCCCCUGAGGUUGAUGUUGGGAAUCAUCUGCAACCACUUUCUACCUUACAUUGAAGCAGGUCUCACAUAUGGCUAGCCAGUCUGUUCUAGGGACCCUAUCUCUGCUUCCCAUAUGCUGGGAUUACAGGUGGGUCACUGUGCCCAUCUGGCUUUUUGUGGUUCUAAGAUGGCAGACUGAUGCUUGUUUGUGUGGAAGGUGUUUAACUUCUGAGCCAUAUUUAUAUAUUUAGGGUACUGUGUGAUAAUUUGAUAACUUUCCAGUGAUCAAGUUAGCAUUCCCAUGUCGUUUUUUUUUUUUGUUUGUUUUUGUUUUUUGUUUUUUUUAAGACAGUUUCUCUGUGUAGCUCUGGCUGUCCUGGAACUUGCUCUGUAGAUCAAGCUAUCCUCAAAUUUUCAGAAAUCCACCUUCCUCAGACUCAUGAGUGCUGGGUUGCACCACCACUGCCCAGCUUGUCAGUAAUUUUUAAACUUAGCAUUAGCUGCUAUGUCCAUUCUCACUAGAGGAAUAGAACAUAAUUUGCAUUUAACAAAUGUGUGUAAGCCUUUAAUCCUAGCACUUGGAAGUCAGAGGCAGGCAGAUUCUCUGAGUUUGAGGCUAGACUGGGCUAUUGUAAGUUCCAGGACAGCCAAGGCUACACAGAGAAACCCUGUCUUGG